RNAcentral lists this ribosomal RNA (493 nucleotides) under uncultured bacterium. RNAcentral's name for it is "partial 16S ribosomal RNA". It matches the Rfam family "Bacterial small subunit ribosomal RNA", at positions 29 to 507 of the family's 1533-position model. The record is from RNAcentral.
AGUGAACGCUGGCGGUAGGCCUAACACAUGCAAGUCGAACGGCAGCACAGUAAGAGCUUGCUCUUACGGGUGGCGAGUGGCGGACGGGUGAGGAAUACAUCGGAAUCUACUUUUUCGUGGGGGAUAACGUAGGGAAACUUACGCUAAUACCGCAUACGACCUACGGGUGAAAGCAGGGGAUCUUCGGACCUUGCGCGAUUGAAUGAGCCGAUGUCGGAUUAGCUAGUUGGCGGGGUAAAGGCCCACCAAGGCGACGAUCCGUAGCUGGUCUGAGAGGAUGAGCAGCCACACUGGGACUGAGACACCGUCCAGACUCCUACGGGGGGCAGCAGUGGGGAAAUUUGGACAAUGGGCGCAAGCCUUAUCCAGCCAAACCGCGUGGGUGGAGGAAGCCUUCGGGUUGUUAAGCCCUUUUGUUGGGGAAAGAAAAGCAGCAGGUUAAUACCCCGCUGUUCUGACGGUACCCAAAGAAUAAGCACCGGCUAACUUCGUG